This 400-nucleotide ribosomal RNA is filed under the name uncultured bacterium. RNAcentral's name for it is "bacterial SSU rRNA". It matches the Rfam family "Bacterial small subunit ribosomal RNA", at positions 355 to 747 of the family's 1533-position model. The record is from RNAcentral.
UUAGGAAUAUUCGUCAAUGGGGGAAACCCUGAACGAGCAAUGCCGCGUGAAGGAUGACGGUCCUAUGGAUUGUAAACUUCUGUUGUUAGGGAAGAACGUCUUGUAGUGGAAAUACUACAGGAGUGACGGUACCUUUCAAGAAAGCUCCGGCUAACUACGUGCCAGCAGCCGCGGUAAUACGUAGGGAGCGAGCGUUAUCCGGAUUUAUUGGGUGUAAAGGGUGCGUAGGCGGUUUAACAGGUCUAUGGUUUAAGUCCGAAGCUUAACUUCGGUUCGCCAUAGAAACCAUUUUACUUGAGCAUGGUAGAGGCAAGUGGAAUUUCUAGUGUAGCGGUUAAAUGCGUAGAUAUUAGAAGGAACAUCAGUGGCGAAGGCGACUUGCUGGGCCAUUGCUGACGCU